Sorex fumeus (smoky shrew) is the source of this 137-nucleotide small nucleolar RNA. RefSeq annotates it as small nucleolar RNA SNORA70. The record is from RefSeq and is a predicted model, not a curated record. The transcript has a single exon. Lineage: Eukaryota; Metazoa; Chordata; Mammalia; Eulipotyphla; Soricidae.
GUGUAGCCAAUUAAAGUGGCAGUGCUCUCUGCUCUAUGGGGCCCAGUUUGCAAUGGCUAUAAACAGCAAACAGCCUCCUUGUUAGUGUCAAAGCCUGUGACUUGUAUGGGCUUUUGUAAGGGACCCUGGAGAGAGUU